AGGACAUGUUAAAGAGAGCUUAUUAGACUCCUAACCAAGAGCUCUUGACAUUGUGACCAAAGACUGACAUUGUCCAGUGGGUGACAUAGUCACUCACGAGUACUGUUUUCCGGAGGGGACAUAAUU
This 126-nucleotide small nucleolar RNA is filed under the name Microtus ochrogaster (prairie vole). RNAcentral describes it as "Small nucleolar RNA SNORA25 (ENSMOCG00000007222.1)". The record is from RNAcentral. Lineage: Eukaryota; Metazoa; Chordata; Mammalia; Rodentia; Cricetidae.